AUACCUUUCUCGGCCUUUUGGCUAAGAUCAAGUGUAGUAUCUGUUCUUAUCAGUUUAAUAUCUGAUACGUGGGCCAAUGGCCCACCCGGUAUUAAAUUAAUUUUUUUUAGGGGGAGGGGCUACCGCAGUAGCUUGCUAUUGGGCCUCUUGUGUGUUGCCUUGGUGUUGCACUAUAACCUGGGCUUGGCACACCCCAC
Molecule: small nuclear RNA, 197 nt
Organism: Cornus florida
Lineage: Eukaryota; Viridiplantae; Streptophyta; Magnoliopsida; Cornales; Cornaceae
Product: U2 spliceosomal RNA
Exons: 1
Source: RefSeq, a predicted model, not a curated record